This is a long non-coding RNA of Tripterygium wilfordii, 681 nucleotides long. RefSeq lists it as uncharacterized. The record is from RefSeq and is a predicted model, not a curated record. The transcript has 6 exons. NCBI's taxonomy places the organism in Eukaryota, Viridiplantae, Streptophyta, Magnoliopsida, Celastrales, Celastraceae.
UGCAUCUUUGUUGAGUUUUGUCAGCUGCCUUGGAUCUUCUCUCCCCAGAUUUUCUUCUGCUAUUGUCAGUUGUUUCGAGGAGUUUGAAUUUUGUUUUCAUCAUCUGCUGGGGUUUGCUUGGUUCGUAAUUCUCAGUUAAGAGUUGUUCAGAUUUGGUUGCUACGGAAACUCAGUAGUUUCUCAGUGAACCUGGUGACAGUCGAUCUCUCUCACAUAAUCGAAUUAUCAUUUCCGAAGCCACAAACAAGACCUCUGUUUACCAAUAUGCCUUAGACAAUCUGGGGAAUUUUCCAAAUGGUCAGCUACAGCAAAGUGUGACUCCUAAUGAUUUCUCCCUUACUCCCUAUGACUAUGGAAGAUGUCAUGUAAGAAUUCAAAGUGCAGGUCAUUCCCACUUUGUGAUUGUAAAGACAGGGAAGAAAGUGGCUGCGAUGGUUUGUGCCAAGAAGAAUGAGCCUAGGAAGAAGAUUGAAAACGACAUGAUUUUCCAAGCUGCUGCUUAGCUUCAAACUUUCGUUGCCUCAGUAGAAGUUUUAUACACUCUACCCUUAUAUGUGUUAUCUUUAUGGUACUAUCUGAAGCUUUGAAGAAUGAUAACAUUAAGAUAGUGCGCGUUGGUUGGUUUAUGAUGAACACUACAUUUAUUUACCAGAAAUGCAACUUGGUCCAAUUUCUUUCUCA